UAAGCCAUCCUUGUUUUCUUUCAUUUUGGGGAAAGAAAGAAACAAGGAAAUGGAUACUCUCUAGAAGAGGAGGAAGGGUGUUCUCUGCCUGUUUGCACAUUCAAGUUCAAAGUGGAGACAGGAAAUCACAUGACGAUGAGUGUCCUGAGAAAAAUCUUCGUGAAAGAUCUUGACAUGUGUCCCCUACACAAACUCCAGAAGACAGAAUGCGGCAGCCACACGAAAGAGGAAACCAAGACUGCCUGCUUGGUAAGAACAUCAUGGAGUAGAAGCUAAGUGUUGCGAGUAAGACUUGGUCACAUCCAGGGAAGCUUCAGGACUCCCCCUCCCUAGAUGGGGAGCUCUGUGAGGGCAGGGACUAGGACUUGGGAUGAGUGGCUGUCUCUGGAGUGAAUAGCACUUGGCAGACAGUAUGCGCUCAAUAAAAAUCUGCUGAAUGAA
This 441-nucleotide small RNA is filed under the name Pongo abelii (Sumatran orangutan). RNAcentral's name for it is "processed transcript". Lineage: Eukaryota; Metazoa; Chordata; Mammalia; Primates; Hominidae. The record is from RNAcentral.